Marasmius tenuissimus is the source of this 100-nucleotide non-coding RNA. The record is from the annotation of a GenBank genome assembly. Lineage: Eukaryota; Fungi; Basidiomycota; Agaricomycetes; Agaricales; Marasmiaceae.
GGGGGUAUAGCUCAGCUGGGAGAGCAGCAGACUGAAGUCCAUUUUUAGCUCCAUGUAGUACUCCUUCUGAACGUCCCGCGUUCGAUCCGCGGUACCCCCA